RNAcentral lists this ribosomal RNA (465 nucleotides) under uncultured bacterium. Its description in RNAcentral is "partial 16S ribosomal RNA". It matches the Rfam family "Bacterial small subunit ribosomal RNA", at positions 29 to 507 of the family's 1533-position model. The record is from RNAcentral.
AACGAACGCUGGCGGCAUGCUUAACACAUGCAAGUCGUACGGUAAGGCCCUUUCGGGGGUACCCGAGUGGCGAACGGCUUAGUAACCCGCGCGUAACCUGCCAACAACUUUCGGAUAACGCUAGGAAACUGGUGCUAAUACUGCAUACGUGACCCUGCUGCAUGGUGGGUGGUGGAAAGCUCCGGCGGUUUUGGAUGGACUUGAGGCCUAUCAGCUUGUUGGUGGCGUAGUGGCCUACCAAGGCGGCGACGGGUAGCCGGCCUGAGAGUGUGACCAGCCACAUUGAGACUGAGACACGGCCACGACUCCGACUGGAGGGAGCAGCGGGGAAGAGUGCACUAGGGGAGUAAGCGUGAUGCAGCUCCGGCGCGUGCGGGAGGACGGUGAUCGGGUUGUAAUCCGCUUUCAGCAGGAACGAAGCUUUUUGUGACGGUACCUGCAGAAUAAGCACCGGCUAACUACGUG